Molecule: ribosomal RNA, 538 nt
Filed under: uncultured bacterium
Lineage: Bacteria
Description: bacterial SSU rRNA
Rfam family: Bacterial small subunit ribosomal RNA
Source: RNAcentral
AGAGUUUGAUCCUGGGCUCAGAACGAACGCUGGCGGCGUGCUUAACACAUGCAAGUCGAACGUGAUCCAGAGCUUGCUCUGGUGAAAGUGGCGCACGGGUGAGUAACGCGUGGAUAACCUGCCCUGGUAUCUGGGAUAACAUCUCGAAAGGGGUGCUAAUACCGGAUAAGCCUACGGGAUCUUCGGAUUCUGCAGGAAAAGGAGGCCUCUAUUUAUAAGCUUCCGUAUCAUGAUGGGUCCGCGUACCAUUAGCUAGUUGGUGGGGUAAUGGCCUACCAAGGCGACGAUGGUUAGCUGGUCUGAGAGGAUGAUCAGCCACACUGGAACUGAGACACGGUCCAGACUCCUACGGGAGGCAGCAGUGGGGAAUUUUGCGCAAUGGGGGAAACCCUGACGCAGCAACGCCGCGUGAGUGAUGAAGGCUUUCGGGUCGUAAAGCUCUGUCAGAGGGGAAGAAAUGGAAACGGUUAAUACCCGUUUUUCUUGACGGUACCCUCAAAGGAAGCACCGGCUAACUCCGUGCCAGCAGCCGCGGUAA